Non-coding RNA from Petromyzon marinus (sea lamprey), 2345 nucleotides. Lineage: Eukaryota; Metazoa; Chordata; Hyperoartia; Petromyzontiformes; Petromyzontidae. The record is from RefSeq and is a predicted model, not a curated record.
UUUUCUUGGUUCUUUCGGUAAAGUCACGUAGAAUGGAAAUAAAAUAAUAAAAAUAAAACGUAAUAAAAUUCUCACGACGUUUCGGCCACAACACAAGUAGCCUUCUUCAGGUGAAGAAACAGGUAGACAGUCAUGUCUACACGUCGCAGAGUUCAUACACGGGCGUCGGACGACGGAGACGAUGAAGAGCUGAUUCCGCUCAUGGCUGUCGAUGAAGGAGCGGAGGCGCUGCCAGCGGAGCAGAGCGCCGUCGGAGAGCGUGGCGCCUCGCCAUCGCUUGUCAGAGACGCGCACGGUCGCCUUGCAGAGCUUCUUCAGACGGCGUCCUCGAUCCUCGCCGAGCUGCGUCCUCUAACUGCUGCGGCGAAGGAGGGAGCAGUGGAGUCGUCUGGACAGAGCGACUCGGCCGCAAUUUCAAAAAGGGCGGGAAUGUCGACGGCGCAGCCCGUGUUCACGGCCGCCAUUUUACCGUCGGCGCGGAGCGCGGAGGCCGCCAAGCUCGAAGCAGAGCGGUCCUCGCCAAUGGACAUCCCGUCGCUCCGCCGCCGACUACCCUUCAUUAAAUAAUUUGUUGCUGCCAGCGGCGAUUGGAUAGCAUUUAAGCGGCGAUUUCUCACCAAUGCUGACUUGGCGGGAUGGACGGAGGCGCUGAAAGCGCUGCCCGCCACCCUCGACGACGACGCCUUGGCGGCAAUUCCUCGCCAUCUGACAGAUCCACCCUCAUGCUGGCGUUCGAACAGAUGGCGGCUGUUUUUGAGCCUCCAUUGAAUACCCGGCAAAAGUUUGCCCUAAGACGUAAAGGGGAGGGUGAGUCGGCUCUCGCCUACCGUAGCGCGCUUUGGCGCUAGCAAAGGCCGCGUUCCCUAAAAUGGACCAUGACGGUCUUUGACGCCUUGGUCCUCGAGAAGAUGCUGGGAGUCGCAAAAGACCUCCACACUGUGCUUCCCGCCGAGGACGAUGCGGUGUCUUCACUCUGGGUCGCCAGGUGCAUCCAGGCACAGCAGAUCCUGCACCGCGACAGGGUGUUGGUGGCGUGCGCCACAUCCUCAACAGAGCCGGAGGCCUGCGCGGAGACCGAGCCUGCUCCUGCAUGCUGCUGCACCAGCGGGGUGGCGCCCAUCGGGGUGCUGACGAUCGGCGGAGGGACGACCGGCGACGAGCGAGGUCUUCAUCAUCUCAGUCCAGAGUGGCCAGGUCGUCUGCUACAACUGCGGCCUGCCGGGGCACGUCCAGUCGGGCUGUCGGGUUCCUCGAUGGCGGCCCCUGGGAAGUCCGCAAUCCUACGGCUCCCUGCUUCAUAAGGCGGUGCGCGAUUGAUGCCUCGCACGCGGCCGCUCGUGUCGGCCUCGCGUGCUCUGGACGUGGAAGGUCGGACGGUCCGGCCUACUACUCGUGAGGAGCCCAGCUUCGUCCGAUCGAUUUCUCAUUUCCCCCGGGUCAUCCAGGGCGGACGAGCCCAACCCCCCUGGAGGCCCGGCAUUGCGGACUCUCUCAAAGACUCGGGUUGCAUAAUCCCCGCACGUUGCACUCCCACGCCGUCAUUGGUUGUCGCGCUCGCGUGAGUCAUAGCGAGUAAUUGGCUGACCUUGCUUGCCAUUGAGCUCACGAGCGUUGUUACACUGUUGAUUGCGGGGGCCCUGCAUGUCGCGAUUGUUAUUGUUCUGCAUUAUUUUCAUUGUUAGCCAGUGUAUAAUUGUACAGGUGGGUUUUGGUAUUUAUUGGUAGUUUUGUUGUUGGAGCACACGUGCGUUAUGUUGACAGCCGGGAUGGCUGAGUGCUAUGGAGGGGGCGGGUGAUGUAGUGACUGGGAAAGUCACUGUGUGGUGCCCGGCCUACGAGGCCACGGCAGGAUGUAUACUAUUGUGUGUAGCAUGCGGUGCGGGCUCCCAUUGAGAGAGCAAGAGAGUUUCAGCCAGCUCGGGUUGCGUUGGGGGCAUGAUACUCUGGUUGACCUGGGGACAUGUGACCGGAUGAUACUGGAGGGGGGCCACCGGUGGAGGGGGCCAAUGGGUGGUCACAUGGUCCAGGAAGAACUCUCGAGAGCCUUCGGGCAAGGGCAAGAGAGAUCGAAACGGUGGGCGGGGUGAGAGGCAGAGCCAGCCCCAGGCCGGCCCGAUAUAAGGGGGGGCGCGCCCCUGUGAGGGGCUCGGGGUUCUUACUGUUGGAGAGGCAGGAGAUCCAUGUCAAGCUUGAAGAAGCCUCCAGCCACACGGUCCGGGACUCAGCUUGUGGCCCGGACCGGGAUAGCAGAACCGUUACUAGUUCCGCUGUAGCGUGGUUAGUUGGGUGGUCACUACCUGAGGGUAUGUUGUGUUAAUAGUUUAAUAAAAUGUGUUGCUCCCUAA